Molecule: long non-coding RNA, 2137 nt
Organism: Vicia villosa (hairy vetch)
Lineage: Eukaryota; Viridiplantae; Streptophyta; Magnoliopsida; Fabales; Fabaceae
Exons: 3
Source: RefSeq, a predicted model, not a curated record
UAUGUGAAAUACUUGUUACUUUUGUUGGGUGUAUUGGUGAUACUUAUGUGGUGAGAUAAGUCUUAACUUGGACUUGAGAGCAGUUACAAUAUGACGUGGGGUAUAGUGAUGUUGAUCUUGAUGCAGUAAUUCUAAAUAAGUCAAUUUGAAAUCCACCACUCAGUGUAGGCCUCUUUGAGAGUUAUCUUAGUUAACCAAGUAAUUGGAACGACAUUGUUAUUUUCGACCUGAGAAUCUGAGAAGUUGGAGACCAUUAGAUUUCAUUUAUCCCUCUUGACCUUUUUAGGAUGUAGUGCAGAAACUAUGAAGGAGUAAUCCUAAAAUAGUUGUUAUGCAUACUAUACUUAUAGUGACUGUAUUCGCUUGUUUACUAUAUUAUUGCAAGUUUACCAUUUUGGCUUGUUAGGCAUUAGUUAAAGAAAUUAUGAUGUAAAUUCUGGAAAAUUACCUAAUUCUCUUGAUUACCAUAUUGUUACAAGUGAGCCUGAUGUAUAUUCUACAGAAUUAUCUAAUUUGCUUGCUUACCAUCAUGCUUCAAGUGAGUCUAAUGUAUAUUAUGGAGAAUUGCCUAAUUUUCUUGUUCACCAUCAUACUGCAAAUUUGUCUGACGUAAAUUUUGGAGAAUAAUCUAAUUUAUUUGUUUACUAUUAUGCUGCAAAAGAGUCUGAUGUAAAAAUAAAUAUAUAUUUAAAGUUGUACCAUUUUUAUUUUAUUUUCUGAAUUGCUUAAUGAAAAGAGAAUCAAAUUAUAAACCUACCGCACUUAAAUUACUUGGAGAGAAAAACGUGCGAUGCACGGGUGUAGUUGAUUUAUAAACAUCCUUUAAAAUUAGGCUUAAUAACACUUUUUGUCCUCGUAUUUUGAUCAACUCACGAAUCUGGUCCUUCAUUUUUAAAACAAAACAAAGCAGCCCCUGUACUUGCCUAAAGUGUGUAAAACUGAUCCUAACCCCCAUUUUCACUCAAAAAAGCUGAUGUGGUCAGAUGUUUAAUGAAGUGGCAUUGCAUAUGUGGAAAUUUAAAUUAUUAAUUCAUUAAAAUAAUUGAUUGUAAUUAAUGUUUUAAUUCACAAGUAAAAUAUCAACCCUAAUCUCCUCAAAUAGAAUCAGUGUGCUAGUGUUCCUCGUCUGACCCUUCUUGUUCCCAGUCUCUCUUAUUCUCGUCUCUGUGCUUAUUCCAUCUUCCAUCAAGGACAACAAUGGCUUCGAAAGGAAAUUCAAAGUACUAUUUCAGGCCAAGUGAACCCCAGAGGUUGAGGCUACGUAUCAACCAUGGGGGUAGAUUUAUCAUCUUCCCUGUCAAAUUGUAUGUUGAGGGUCUAGUUUAUGAGAUGGAUGAAGCGUUUGAUGUUGAUUUUGCGAACUAUAAAGACUUUAGAGCAGAAGUGCUACAUCUUGGGUAUGCCAACUUCAAGUGUUUGUGGUACCACCAUCCAAAGCUAUCAUUUCAGACUGGACUUAAGCCUCUAAACACUGAUGGUGACGUCUUAUAGUUAAUUUCAGAUGCAAAAGGGAAGACACAAUAUCUGGCCACUUACUCCCACAUUGUGCUACCCUCAAAUGGACCAAGACUAUGGCCAGUGACAAAUACUGAGUACAUUAAUCCACCACUAAUGAGAAGGGCACCAGGAAGGCCAAAAAAGUUAAGGAACAAAUCCAAUAAUAAGGAAAGAAAACCUGGUGUGCUGCCAAGACAAUUGAAGACAGUCAAAUGCAAAAAAUGUCACAAGUAUGGACUUAACACAAGGACAUUUAAGGGCAAAAGCGCUGCUGACAGGUAGAUUCCCAAGGGAGGAAACAAGUAGAAGACAACAAGCAAGGCUAGCUCUAGUGGACAGCAGAAAAACAAGAAAUAGAAAACAACUGCUAAUGAAGUUGAGGUUGUUGUUUCUCAGGGAUCACAGACUACACAACCAUCUCAAAAUUAGAUGAUACUUAGGCCUUUUAUUUUGGUGUUUUGACUGUUAAAUCUAAUAUUUUUCUGUAAUGAAAAUUAGUCCAUAUUUUGGUGUAGUAAUGACAAGUAGAUCACAGUCAAGUUAUGUUUUGGUGUAAUGACAAUUCAGCAUAUAUUGCUGUCAUGACAAUUAUGUUUUGCUAUAUAAUGGUUGUUUAUGUAAUGACAAUUAUCCUUCUUUA